Molecule: long non-coding RNA, 1303 nt
Organism: Magnolia sinica
Lineage: Eukaryota; Viridiplantae; Streptophyta; Magnoliopsida; Magnoliales; Magnoliaceae
Exons: 3
Source: RefSeq, a predicted model, not a curated record
UAAGAUUCAUCUGAACUGGAUGUGACUUGGACGAGGCAACUUGUAUUGGGUGGGACCCAAUCUAGUUCAACACCCCACGACGCAACCCUCCAGGUGAACCCUGACUCGGGCAAGUUGAGCAAUUCAGCCCCAACUAGGGUGAGUCAUGACUCGACUCAGGGCAAACGAGUUGAUCCCAGCUGGAUCUUCUAACCAUGUUCCGGGCAUUCCCCGUUAGAGCUGUUCUAAGCUGACAUGCAUGUGCAAGUCAACUAAUGCAUGCACCUCCAUAUAUGCCAACUUGGCACACAGGUAAAAUAUCCAAGCCCCACUCAUCAUGUGGAUGUUUAGAUGCUACUGGUGAAAGAUAAAGGUGGUCUGCUCAGUAGUUGUGCCAUGAUAUUAGAAAUAAGUGGAUGUGUUAAAAAACUUCAGACAGGUCUUUCAUAGCUAUAGAUUCGUUCAGUUGAUUGUGGCCCGACUAGAGGACUGACCUGAUUCUUGGGAUACGAAAUCUACAGUUUACCCUUCUGAUGGAUGGCUUGGAUAUUACACCUGUCUGCCAUGCCAGCAUGUGGUAGUGUGUGCAUUAGCUCACUUAUACAUGCAGGUGAGCUUAGCAAACCUCUUUCCCUUCCUCAGGUGGGCUCUACAAAGAAGGUGCACAUUUCUACCAGGCAGUGAACCUGCUUCUGAACAUCAUUAGAUUAUUUUCUGAUGGUGAUCUUUUCUCUAUAGAACGUGAUGCACUGUAUACCCUAGAAACUAUCUAGAACUUAAGGCAUUGCCACUAAUCACUGGCAUGUCCUACUUGUAAUUGACAAGCAAAUGGAGAUUUUCUUUUCAUGAUGGUCAGCUCUGCUUACACAUUUUUCAGGUCAUAGAUACUCGUGGUCAGUAGCUGUUCCACUUAGAAAGUGGGUACUUGUGGCUACUGAUGGUCCUCCUUACGAAAAUCGUCCAGACGUUUAUUUUGGCCCUACAAACCAUAUGGAUGAUGGAAUAUAUGAAGCUGUUGCAGGAAAUGACUUUGUCAUUACUAGAGUUGCAUUUCGAGACAACUCUUCAAAGUACUACAUAAAUGACCGUGGAAGUAAUUUUACAGAGGUCAUUAAGAAAUUGAAAGGAAAAGGAGUGGACUUGGACAACAAUCAGUUUUUGAUUCUUCAGGGUGAAGUCGAGCAAAUUUCUCUAAUGAAGCCAAAGAUUUGUAUUUUUAACAUUAUUGUAAUUGUAAUUGUAAUUGAUUGAAUGAAGGAUUGUAAUUGAUUGUAAUUGAAUAAAUGAAUGAUUGUAAUUGAAUGAAUGAACAAUUGUAAUUGAA